This 73-nucleotide small RNA is filed under the name Salix viminalis (osier). The record is from RNAcentral. Lineage: Eukaryota; Viridiplantae; Streptophyta; Magnoliopsida; Malpighiales; Salicaceae.
CAGUGAGAGGUAUGAUGUACUAUCGGCAUGCUUUGGAGCUUCAGGCAUUCCUUGAUAUAGCCAGACAUGAAGG